This 497-nucleotide ribosomal RNA is filed under the name uncultured bacterium. RNAcentral describes it as "partial 16S ribosomal RNA". It matches the Rfam family "Bacterial small subunit ribosomal RNA", at positions 28 to 507 of the family's 1533-position model. The record is from RNAcentral.
GAUGAACGCUGGCGGCGUGCCUAAUACAUGCAAGUCGAGCGAACGGACGAGAAUCUUGCUUCUCUUAUGUUAGCGGCGGACGGGUGAUUAAUACGUGGCUAACCUACCUUUAAGACUGGGAUAACUUCGGGAAACCUGAUCUAAUAUCGGUUAAUAUUUUGAACCUCAUGGUUCUUAAGUGCAAGCCGUUCUUGCUGUCACUUAUAGAUGUAUCCUCGCUGCAUUAGCUAGUUGGUAAGGUAACGGCUUACCAAGGCAACGAUGCAUAGCCGACCUGAGAGGGUGAUCGGCCACACUGGAACUGAGACACGGUCCAGACUCCUACGGGAGGCAGCAGUAGGGAAUAUUCCGCAAUGGGCGAAAGCCUGACGGAGCAACGCCGCGUGAGUGAUGAAGGUCUUCGGAUCGUAAAACACUGUAAGUUGGGAAGAACAUAUGUGAAAGUAAAUGUGCACAUCUUGACGGUACCAAAACAGAAAGCAACGGCUAACUACGUG